AUGAUUUUCUUACCGUGCGCCGAAAUCACAGAAGAACAUCACCUGUACCCAUAAGCAGGUGAUUAGUGCGUGCACCCACACGCUCGCUCUGAUUGGCAACGAUUGAAUCAUCCUCAUGGUAGGGUGAAAUCGAGGACGGAAGCCGAACUGUGCCAGGGUUUCGGGUGGGUCUGAAAUCUGGCGAACGAUGGCUCAAGCUGUUGAAGAAUGGUACAAGCAGAUGCCCAUCAUCACCCGCUCCUAUCUCACAGCCGCUGUCGUCACCACCAUCGGCUGUUCGCUCGAUAUAAUUUCUCCCUGUCAUCUGUACUUGAACCCUAAACUAGUGGUGAAGCAGUAUCGGUUCUGGCGCCUAAUCACCAAUUUCUUGUACUUCCGCAAAAUGGGUAACCCCUUAAGCUUGGAUUUUUAAGAUAUCAUGUCCUAUACCGAUUUUAAUUUGACAUGAAGUUUGAUCUAUUCAUUAUA
Long non-coding RNA from Malania oleifera, 468 nucleotides. RefSeq lists it as uncharacterized. The record is from RefSeq and is a predicted model, not a curated record. The transcript is spliced from 3 exons. NCBI's taxonomy places the organism in Eukaryota, Viridiplantae, Streptophyta, Magnoliopsida, Santalales, Ximeniaceae.